GACGAACGCUGGCGGCGUGCCUAAUACAUGCAAGUCGAGCGAAACUUAGAAAGCUUGCUUUCUAAGUUUAGCGGCGGACGGGUUAGUAACGCGUGGGAACGUGCCCUUCUCUGCGGAAUAGCCACUGGAAACGGUGAGUAAUACCGCAUACGCCCUUCGGGGGAAAGAUUUAUCGGAGAAGGAUCGGCCCGCGUUAGAUUAGAUAGUUGGUGGGUAACGGCCUACCAAGUCUACGAUCUAUAGCUGGUUUUAGAGGAUGAUCAGCAACACUGGGACUGAGACACGGCCCAGACUCCUACGGGAGGCAGCAGUGGGGAAUCUUAGACAAUGGGCGCAAGCCUGAUCUAGCCAUGCCGCGUGUGUGAUGAAGGUCUUAGGAUCGUAAAGCACUUUCGCCAGGGAUGAUAAUGACAGUACCUGGUAAAGAAACCCCGGCUAACUCCGUG
This 446-nucleotide ribosomal RNA is filed under the name uncultured bacterium. RNAcentral describes it as "bacterial SSU rRNA". It matches the Rfam family "Bacterial small subunit ribosomal RNA", at positions 28 to 507 of the family's 1533-position model. The record is from RNAcentral.